This 1189-nucleotide ribosomal RNA is filed under the name Rhynchocypris percnurus (lake minnow). Its description in RNAcentral is "partial 16S ribosomal RNA". It matches the Rfam family "Bacterial large subunit ribosomal RNA", at positions 724 to 2556 of the family's 2925-position model. The record is from RNAcentral. Lineage: Eukaryota; Metazoa; Chordata; Actinopteri; Cypriniformes; Leuciscidae.
GGUGAGCUACCCCGAGACAGCCUAUGUUAAUUUAGGGCUAACCCGUCUCUGUGGCAAAAGAGUGGGAAGAGCUCCGGGUAGAAGUGAAAGACCUACCGAACCUGGUGAUAGCUGGUUGACUGAGAGAUGGAUAGAAGUUCAGCCUCGCACACCCCAAACCAAAAAAUAUUAUUAUCAAGAUAUUUAGGGAUACGUACGAGAGUUAGUUAAAAGGGGUACAGCCCUUUUAACAAAGGAUACAACCUUUACAGGAGGAUAAAGAUCAUAAUGUAUAAGAUAUACUGUUCUAGUGGGCCUGAAAGCAGCCACCUAUACAGAAAGCGUUAAAGCUCGGACAGAAAGAAAUUUAUUAUUUAGAUAAAAAAUCUUAUUCCCCUAACUAUAUCAGACCAACCCAUGCCUACAUGGAAGAGAUUAUGCUAAAAUGAGUAAUAAGAAGACCCGCUCUUCUCCCAGCACAAGUGUAAGCCAGAUCGGACUAGCCACUGGAAUUUAACGAACCCAACCCAAGAGGGUAAUGUGAUCAACAAAAAACCCAAGAAGAUCUCACAUUAAAUAAUCGUUAACCCCACACUGGAGUGCUAUUUUAAGGGAAAGACUAAAAGAAGGGGAAGGAACUCGGCAAACACAAGCCUCGCCUGUUUACCAAAAACAUCGCCUCCUGCAACUGAACUGAGUAUAGGAGGUCCAGCCUGCCCAGUGACUACGGGUUCAACGGCCGCGGUAUCUUGACCGUGCAAAGGUAGCGCAAUCACUUGUCUCUUAAAUAGAGACCUGUAUGAAUGGCUAGACGAGGGCUUAACUGUCUCCCCCCUCCAGUCAGUGAAAUUGAUCUAUCCGUGCAGAAGCGGGUAUAAAUAUACAAGACGAGAAGACCCUUUGGAGCUUAAGGUACAAAUUCAACCACGUUAAACAACUCUAUAAAAAGCAAGAACUUAGUGAUACUGAAAUUUUACCUUCGGUUGGGGCGACCGCGGAGGAAAAACAAGCCUCCGAGUGGACUGGGCCAAACCCCUGAAGCUAAUAGAGACAUCUAUAGGACACAGAAUAUCUGACCAAAAAUGAUCCGGCUAAAAAGCCGAUCAACGAACCAAGUUACCCAAGGGAUAACAGCGCAAUCCCCUCCCAGAGCCCAUAUCUACGAGGGGGUUUACGACCUCGAUGUUGGAUCAGGACAUCCUAAUGGUGC